Molecule: ribosomal RNA, 331 nt
Filed under: uncultured soil bacterium
Lineage: Bacteria
Description: bacterial SSU rRNA
Rfam family: Bacterial small subunit ribosomal RNA
Source: RNAcentral
AGAUUGAACGCUGGCGGCAGGCCUAACACAUGCAAGUCGAGCGGUAGAGAGGUGCUGCAUCUCUUGAGAGCGGCGGACGGGUGAGUAGUGCCUAGGAAUCUGCCUAGUGGUGGGGGAUAACGUUCGGAAACGGACGCUAAUACCGCAUACGUCCUACGGGAGAAAGCGGGGGACCUUCGGGCCUCGCGCCAUUAGAUGAGCCUAGGUCGGAUUAGCUAGUUGGUGAGGUAAUGGCUCACCAAGGCGACGAUCCGUAACUGGUCUGAGAGGAUAAUCAGUCACACUGGAACUGAGACACGGUCCAGACUCCUACGGGAGGCAGCAGUGGGAA